RNAcentral lists this long non-coding RNA (1235 nucleotides) under Olea europaea subsp. europaea. Lineage: Eukaryota; Viridiplantae; Streptophyta; Magnoliopsida; Lamiales; Oleaceae. The record is from RNAcentral.
GCAUUUGCACAUGUGGCUAAGGAACAACGGUCGAAGCUAGAUGAUAAAGCUAGUCCUUGCAUUUUUGUUGGCUAUGGAGAUGCAGAAUUUGGCUAUAGAUUAUGGGAUCCAGAAAAAAAGAAAAUAUUCAAAAGUAGAGAUGUGAUUUUUCAUUAAAAUCAGAAGUUGACAGAUGUUGAAAAAUCUGGGAAUCAAAGACGUGUUAUUGAAGGUGUCACUGACCUUACACCUGUCUCCUUGCCUUCGGAUAGUGUCACUCAAGGGGUAGAGACACACGUUGACAAUCAUGCUGAUGAGCCAGCAAGGGUUGAUGAGGAUGAUUUAGAGGAUGUUGAGUAGGAGGAGCAGCCUACUACAUCAGACUCUCAGAUUAGAAGAUCUACCAGGGAGCAUCGUCCAUCAACUAGGUAUCCAGUAUCAGAUUAUGUGUUGGUAACUGAUGAGGGGGAGCCAGAAUAUUUUCAGGAGGUAGAAUCUCAUAAGGACAAACAAAGUUGGGUGAAGGCUAUGCAAGAAGAGAUGAAUUCUUUGCAGAAGAAUAACAUUUAUGAGCUAGUAGAGCUUCCUAAAGGUAAAAAGGCAUUGAAAAAUUAAUGAGUGUUGAAGUUGAAGAAAGAUGGUGAAAAGCUAGUGAAGUAUAUUGGUGGUAAAAGGCUUCAGUUAGAAGAAAAGGAUUGACUUUGAUGAGAUAUUCUCUCCUAUUGUCAAAAUGACUUCUAUUCGAGUAGUUUUGGGUUUAAUAGCUAGUUUGGAUCUUGAGCUUGAGUAGUUAGAUGUCAAGACCGCCUUUCUCCAUAGUGAUUUGGAGGAAGAAAUCUACAUAGUUCAGCUAGAGGGAUUUGAAGUAAGAGGAAAAGAACAUAUGGUUUGCAAGUUGAAAAAGAGUUUGUAUGGAUUGAAACAGGCUCAAAGACAGUGGUAUAAGAAGUUUAAUUCAUUUAUGAUGAGUCAUGGUUAUACCAAGACAAAUGCAUAUCACUGUGUUUAUGUCAGAGAAUUUCAUGGUGGUAACUUCAUCAUCUUUUUGUUAUAUAUAAAUGAUAUGUUGAUAGUGGGACAGGAUGUUCAGUUAAUUCGCAGUUUGAAAGUAGAUCUAUUCAAGUCGUUUGACAUGAAGGAUCUUGGACCAACAAGGUAAAUUUUGGGAAUGUAUAUUUGUUAUGAUAAGAAAGCCAGAAAGUUAUGGUCAUCACAGGAGAAAUAUGUAGAGAGAGUUUUGGAAAGUUUAACAUGAA